GUCCUACGGGAGGCAGCAGUCGAGAAUCAUUCACAAUGGGGGAAACCCUGAUGCAGCGACGCCGCGUGAGCGAUGAAGUAUUUCGGUAUGUAAAGCUCUAUCAGCAGGGAAGAAAAUGACGGUACCUGACUAAGAAGCCCCGGCUAACUACGUGCCAGCAGCCGCGGUAAUACGUAGGGGGCAAGCGUUAUCCGGAUUUACUGGGUGUAAAGGGAGCGUAGACGGCUGUGCAAGUCUGAAGUGAAAGCCAAGGGCUCAACCCUGGGACUGCUUUGGAAACUGUGGAGCUAGAGUGCUGGAGAGGU
RNAcentral lists this ribosomal RNA (305 nucleotides) under uncultured bacterium. RNAcentral's name for it is "bacterial SSU rRNA". It matches the Rfam family "Bacterial small subunit ribosomal RNA", at positions 335 to 658 of the family's 1533-position model. The record is from RNAcentral.